GGCAUUUAUCGUUUGUCUGCUGUUUGUUAAUGUUCAAUAUUUUAAAAUUAUUUUAAAAACGGAACAAUUUGUUCAAAAUGAAGGCCGUUUUCGCACUAAUUCUGUAUUUUAUUGUUUUAUUAUUUAACUUCGACGGAAUUCUCGGGGAAGCUUUGCUGAUGGAUUUUGUUGAUAGUCAACUUUCGGCACCAACUCCUUGCAAUUUUUCCUCGGACUGCCAUCAUUUGAAAAAUGCAGUCUGCAUGGACGACUACUGUAAUUGUAACGGCAGUAAGUUUUGUGUCAGCAAUUUGGAGCAAAGACUUCUUAAGCUGGGAGAAAAUUGCGAAAGUUCAUCAGAUUGCCUCAUUGAAAAUUCUGUAUGCCAGGAGAGAAAAUGCAGGUGCAUAGAGGGAACUGCUGCGGGUAUUGAUGGAAGAAAGUGUAUCAAAGGUCAGGAAUCUGUACUAAAUGCUAAUAACCAAUGUAACAACGAAGGUUGCCAAUGCAAGGCCGGCUAUGUUUCAAACCUUGCAUCUACUGAAUGUUUGAAAAUUGCCGAAGAAUUAUAUUCUGCAUGUGCUGAAGAUGUACAAUGUCUUUCCAAAUUUGAAAACUCUAUUUGCCAUGAGGGUCUCUGCCGAUGCAACGAAAGCUUUAAAUAUGAUGCAAUUGACAACAUGUGCUCUAAAGAUUUAUCUUUCAUUACUGGAUCCUUGAACGAAAGUGACAGUCGGACUCCAACGGGAUGCGUUGAUGGUAUCUGCAAGGAACAGGAAGUUGAACUUUCUCUCAAAGCAGAUAACCCACGCAUAGGUGCUCUAUGUGAUGGGUUUCGAAAGGAGCAGAAAAUCGGUUGUACGGUUGGUAGGUGCGAAUGCCCAGAAGAACGGAAAUUCUGCACUAAUAGGGCAGAGUUGAGUAGGCACAUGAAUAAAGGGCAGAGUAAGAAACGGCUAGACUCUAGAGCGAGUUCUGUUGAUUCCCCCAAAAUAGAACAUAUUAGCCGCACUUAUACACUUGGACGAUUCGGAAUUCCGAGUGACCAUCAUGAAAUUAAACGGAAAGAAAAUUUAAGGGUGAGACGUCAGUUCCAAAUUAGCGUGACUGGGGUUGCUAUCAUCCUUAUAACUACUUUUGUCUUAUUUUAUGUUCAAACUGAUGAGACUCAUUUGUUUGUACUUUUCCCACUUUUGAUUUUCUGGUUAUGUAAAACUGACUAUACAGCCUGGUCGAAAUUCGGCGAUUUGUCUGCUCUUUAUAUGGUGAACGCUGAUAUAUUUGUAUGUUUAGUAUUGCUCUUUUCUUGGUACUUUUACCGACGAUUCUUUUCUUCACGUAAGUCUCGAAAAAUACCUGUGCGUAGACAUUCAGACGAACAUGAUCGUCCAUUUGUGCGUCGCUAUGUGUUCCCACCGGCAAGCCCUUGAGGUGGCCCAGAACGAAGAAGACAACACCAGGACUAAUUUCAGAAUGGAUUUCACUACUAAAGCAGCGCCAUUAUUUGGGUUAUAGUCGUAGCUGUAUUUCUCGGUGCUACUCCAAGUUCAUGGCUUUCUAGAAUAGCAUCAGUUCUUAAGAUUUAUGCAGUCCUAAUCGUUACUAUGUUACAAGUUUUAAAAAUUAAAAUAGAAGUUUUUGUAUCUGCAUUUACCAAAUCAAUAACGCAGCUUUUGGUGUUAUCACUCUAUAUACUUUUUAUAACCUACUUUGCUUCUAAAUUCAUAGAUAUCCUGUGCGAUAAAGUACCUGUUUAUAGGAUUUAUUUUU
RNA transcript from Dendroctonus ponderosae (mountain pine beetle), 1749 nucleotides. It is a transcript of the gene named prion-like-(Q/N-rich) domain-bearing protein 25, with no coding region annotated. The record is from RefSeq and is a predicted model, not a curated record. NCBI's taxonomy places the organism in Eukaryota, Metazoa, Arthropoda, Insecta, Coleoptera, Curculionidae. The transcript has 7 exons.